This 810-nucleotide ribosomal RNA is filed under the name uncultured bacterium. RNAcentral's name for it is "bacterial SSU rRNA". It matches the Rfam family "Bacterial small subunit ribosomal RNA", at positions 8 to 796 of the family's 1533-position model. The record is from RNAcentral.
AGAGUUUGAUCCUGGCUCAGAAUCAACGCUGGCGGCGUGCCUCAGACAUGCAAGUCGAACGCGAAAGUCUCCUUCGGGGGAUGAGUAGAGUGGCGCACGGGUGAGUAACACGUAGGUAAUCUACCUUCGGGUGGGGAAUAACCCAGGGAAACUUGGGCUAAUACCGCAUAAUGCAGCGGCACCACAUGGUGACAGUUGUUAAAGCGGGGGAUCUUCGGAUCUCGCGCCUGAAGAGGAGCCUGCGGCGGAUUAGCUAGUUGGUAAGGUAACGGCUUACCAAGGCGACGAUCUGUAGCCGGCCUGAGAGGGCGGUCGGCCACACUGACACUGACAUACGGGUCAGACUCCUACGGGAGGCAGCAGUCGGGAAUUUUGGGCAAUGGGCGAAAGCCUGACCCAGCAACGCCGCGUGAAGGAUGAAAUCCCUCGGGAUGUAAACUUCGCAAGAAUGGGAAGAAUUAGUAGGGGUUAAUACCCCCUAUGAUGACGGUACCAUUUGUAAGCUCCGGCUAACUCCGUGCCAGCAGCCGCGGUAAUACGGGGGGAGCAAGCGUUGUUCGGAUUUACUGGGCGUAAAGGGCGCGUAGGCGGUCAGCACAAGUCAGUUGUGAAAUCUCCGGGCUUAACUCGGAAAGGUCAACUGAUACUGUGCGACUAGAGUGCGGAAGGGGCAACUGGAAUUCUCGGUGUAGCGGUGAAAUGCGUAGAUAUCGAGAGGAACACCUGCGGCGAAGGCGGGUUGCUGGGCCGACACUGACGCUGAUGCGCGAAAGCCAGGGGAGCGAACGGGAUUAGAUACCCCCGUAGUCC